AGAACACAUCAGAGAGCCGACAGCUCAUCUGUCAGUGCUACAACUUGGCACUGAGGCAAAGGCUUCUGCAAGCAUUUCUCUCUCCCUUCCAGGAGAUGUUACCAAGCUACCUGCCUGCAUCCCUUCUGGAAAGCCACUGAAGAGAGCUACUCUGUCCCAGCAACACACCCUUUGCAUCCAGCACAACCCCUACUGCUCCAUGAAGGGGAACCACAACAGUUGUAACAUGUUACAGGACGAUCUAACACCAAAAGACUGGGAGAUGAUCUGCAUAUUCAGUCCUUUGACAACUGGAACCAGCUACAUAUUGAAGAUUUGCAUUUGAAAAGGACUUGCUCAUCCUCCCCAUGGGAUCAAAGCAGAAGGAAAUCUUACUGUUGACUUUAGAACUUCAUUAGUUCCCACAGCAACCGACUGAUGACAUGCAGGCAUGGGGCUGUCAGCUCCACAAAGCCUUGCAAGCAACUGAGACCUGAGGUUUGUAGUAGCUGCAUAGUUCAAAGAAAAAAGCUGCACUUCACAUAGAGCUGCAGUAUGACACCGAUCCCUUUGGAAAAUUUCAUACUUCACAGUAUCUUUCCCUAACUCGAAUAGUAUACAUCCACCUCGCUGUUAAGUAUUGUAGUUGGAAUUCCUAUUACAAAGCAUUGCUUUGCAAACAAUAGAGCUCCAAAUCUUACAGAGUGAGAUUCUCU
This 695-nucleotide long non-coding RNA is filed under the name Dromaius novaehollandiae (emu). Its description in RNAcentral is "lncRNA (ENSDNVG00000015781.1)". The record is from RNAcentral. Lineage: Eukaryota; Metazoa; Chordata; Aves; Casuariiformes; Dromaiidae.